This is a non-coding RNA of Trichobilharzia regenti, 45 nucleotides long. The record is from Rfam. Lineage: Eukaryota; Metazoa; Platyhelminthes; Trematoda; Strigeidida; Schistosomatidae.
AUGCAGAUGAAGAGUCCCGAAUAAGACGAAAUGCGCAUCCUGGAU